This 1343-nucleotide ribosomal RNA is filed under the name uncultured bacterium. RNAcentral's name for it is "16S ribosomal RNA". It matches the Rfam family "Bacterial small subunit ribosomal RNA", at positions 28 to 1378 of the family's 1533-position model. The record is from RNAcentral.
GACGAACGCUGGCGGCGUGCUUAACACAUGCAAGUCGAACGGAAAGGCCCUGCUUUUGUGGGGUGCUCGAGUGGCGAACGGGUGAGUAACACGUGAGUAACCUGCCCUUGACUUUGGGAUAACUUCAGGGAACUGGGGCUAAUACCGGAUAGGAGCUCCUGCUGCAUGGUGGGGGUUGGAAAGUUUCGGCGGUUGGGGAUGGACUCGCGGCUUAUCAGCUUGUUGGUGGGGUAGUGGCUUACCAAGGCUUUGACGGGUAGCCGGCCUGAGAGGGUGACCGGCCACAUUGGGACUGAGAUACGGCCCAGACUCCUACGGGAGGCAGCAGUGGGGAAUAUUGCACAAUGGGCGGAAGCCUGAUGCAGCAACGCCGCGUGCGGGAUGACGGCCUUCGGGUUGUAAACCGCUUUCGCCUGUGACGAAGCGUGAGUGACGGUAAUGGGUAAAGAAGCACCGGCUAACUACGUGCCAGCAGCCGCGGUGAUACGUAGGGUGCGAGCGUUGUCCGGAUUUAUUGGGCGUAAAGGGCUCGUAGGUGGUUGAUCGCGUCGGAAGUGUAAUCUUGGGGCUUAACCCUGAGCGUGCUUUCGAUACGGGUUGACUUGAGGAAGGUAGGGGAGAAUGGAAUUCCUGGUGGAGCGGUGGAAUGCGCAGAUAUCAGGAGGAACACCAGUGGCGAAGGCGGUUCUCUGGGCCUUUCCUGACGCUGAGGAGCGAAAGCGUGGGGAGCGAACAGGCUUAGAUACCCUGGUAGUCCACGCUGUAAACGGUGGGUACUAGGUGUGGGGUCCAUUCCACGGGUUCCGUGCCGUAGCUAACGCUUUAAGUACCCCGCCUGGGGAGUACGGCCGCAAGGCUAAAACUCAAAGGAAUUGACGGGGCCCCGCACAAGCGGCGGAGCAUGCGGAUUAAUUCGAUGCAACGCGUAGAACCUUACCUGGGUUUGACAUGGAUCGGGAGUGCUCAGAGAUGGGUGUGCCUCUUUUGGGGUCGGUUCACAGGUGGUGCAUGGUUGUCGUCAGCUCGUGUCGUGAGAUGUUGGGUUAAGUCCCGCAACGAGCGCAACCCUUGUUCACUGUUGCCAGCACGUUAUGGUGGGGACUCAGUGGAGACCGCCGGGGUCAACUCGGAGGAAGGUGGGGAUGACGUCAAGUCAUCAUGCCCCUUAUGUCCAGGGCUUCACGCAUGCUACAAUGGCUGGUACAGAGAGUGGCGAGCCUGUGAGGGUGAGCGAAUCUCGGAAAGCCGGUCUCAGUUCGGAUUGGGGUCUGCAACUCGACCUCAUGAAGUCGGAGUCGCUAGUAAUCGCAGAUCAGCAACGCUGCGGUGAAUACGUUCCCGGG